GUAGGUGGCAAGCGUUGUCCGGAAUUAUUGGGCGUAAAGCGCGCGCAGGCGGGUUCUUUAAGUCUGAUGUGAAAGCCCACGGGCUCAACCGUGGAGGGUCAUUGGAAACUGGAGAACUUGAGUACAGAAGAGGAAAGCGGAAUUCCACGUGUAGCGGUGAAAUGCGUAGAGACGUGGAGGAACACCAGUGGCGAAGGCGGCUUUCUGGUCUGUAACUGACGCUGAGGCGCGAAAGCGUGGGGAGCAAACAGGAUUAGAUACCCUGGUAGUCCACGCCGUAAACGAUGAGUGCUAAGUGUUAGGGGGUUUCCGCCCCUUAGUGCUGCAGCUAACGCAUUAAGCACUCCGCCUGGGGAGUACGGCCGCAAGGCUG
This 373-nucleotide ribosomal RNA is filed under the name uncultured organism. Its description in RNAcentral is "partial 16S ribosomal RNA". It matches the Rfam family "Bacterial small subunit ribosomal RNA", at positions 527 to 896 of the family's 1533-position model. The record is from RNAcentral.